RNAcentral lists this long non-coding RNA (1243 nucleotides) under Struthio camelus australis. RNAcentral's name for it is "lncRNA (ENSSCUG00000017666.1)". The record is from RNAcentral. Lineage: Eukaryota; Metazoa; Chordata; Aves; Struthioniformes; Struthionidae.
CAAACAUUACCUUCAAUUGCUCACUGGACACCCUCAUUGUGCUAUUUCAUGUCCUGAAGAAAAUAAAAUGUAUCCUGGAACACUAAUCAGAGUCUGAAUGCAGAAUGCUUUGGAUCACUUUGGCAAUUUUUUUCAAUAAUUUGCAUAUCAAAUUAUGACUGCAGUUUUGGUAGUGAAAAAGAAGGAUUGAGGAUUUGUCUCCAGUCAGACAUGUUGAGGAGACCUUUCUGUUAGGCAGGCCUUCUGUGGGCUUUCCCAAACAUGUAUCCCAGCUCAGAGAAGCUGCCCUGUUAGCUCAGAGCUAUCAUCGAGCCUGCUUGCACUGGAUAUGUCCCCAUUCCUUCCUUGCACAAGCAUUUCAGAUGAUAGGGAGUAUUUCAAGGUUUUUUAGGUCUUUUACUUCUGAAAUCUCUUAGGAGUGAACACUGAAGGAAGCACACGUAUUUGAGGAAGGAAUGGGGGGAAACUAGCAGAGGGGUUCCCAGCUUGCUUUUUGAUGUGAUUGCAGCCAUAUUAAGCUUUUUUCUAGUACUCCAAAAUGCUGUGUAAGCAGUCCCUGCAAGUGAAGGCUGUAUUGUUUCAAGAGAACAGCAUAACCAUUUUGACAUACAGCUGUUAUAUUUCAUUUGACCAGAUGGAACAACCCUCUUUUAGUUUCAGAAUAUAGCUAAUCUUAAUAUAUUUUUCUAAGCAAGAAAAAUUGCACCAUAAAUAUUCAGGCAUUACACUCGGAAAGCUGGAGAGGAAAGUUUUAUCAUCAACGUGCAAAACUGUAUAAUCAUUUAUCAUCAUUCUCCUUCCCAGCUGUGAAGAGUAUGUCUUUUUUUAGUGUAUACUGUCAUAUUCCAAUGCUAGCUAAGUCUGUGUUUUGCUUUCGAAUAUGGAUGAUUCUGUUGGCAGCAGAGGGACUUUCUGUAGCUUUUAUUCCAAAAACCUCCCUCCUGUAAACUUUGGUUUUCACCCCCUCUGCAGAGCUGCCUCCAGUCCCUACCCAGUCCUACCCCAUGGACAACAGUGGGAUUAGCAGUGACAGUGUCACUGAAGGAUGGAGACUGUGAGUCACAGAGGAAGGUUAAUCCCAUCCACAUGCUUUCUAUAAGAGUCAUACAAGCCAAGAACAUCAAGUCAAGAGACCUCUGUGAGUUGUGGUUUGUUUGUUUUCUUUUGUCACCUCCAGAGUUUAUAUGCCAUGAACAGUGUUCCUGAGUACUAAAGGUACACAAGUAACAUACAUAAAGCAAAG